CCUACGGGGGGCUGCAGUGGGGAAUAUUGGACAAUGGGCGAAAGCCUGAUCCAGCCAUGCCGCGUGUGUGAAGAAGGCCUUCGGGUUGUAAAGCACUUUCAGUGGGGAAGAAAGCCUUGGGGCUAAUACCCUCGAGGAAGGACAUCACCCACAGAAGAAGCACCGGCUAACUCCGUGCCAGCAGCCGCGGUAAUACGGAGGGUGCGAGCGUUAAUCGGAAUUACUGGGCGUAAAGCGCGCGUAGGCGGUCUGAUAAGCCGGUUGUGAAAGCCCCGGGCUCAACCUGGGAACGGCAUCCGGAACGGUCAGGCUAGAGUGCAGUAGAGGAAGGUAGAAUUCCCGGUGUAGCGGUGAAAUGCGUAGAGAUCGGGAGGAAUACCAGUGGCGAAGGCGGCCUUCUGGACUGACACUGACGCUGAGGUGCGAAAGCGUGGGUAGCAAACAGGAUUAGAUACCCGGGUAGUC
RNAcentral lists this ribosomal RNA (465 nucleotides) under Vreelandella stevensii. Its description in RNAcentral is "partial 16S ribosomal RNA". It matches the Rfam family "Bacterial small subunit ribosomal RNA", at positions 338 to 795 of the family's 1533-position model. The record is from RNAcentral. Lineage: Bacteria; Pseudomonadati; Pseudomonadota; Gammaproteobacteria; Oceanospirillales; Halomonadaceae.